CCCCACAUAUUUAGGUUUUCUUUUAAGUCUUUCUUCUGAGUCACUAAGAAGCUGCACUUGCUAAAGUUUGAUACUUGCUUCUUUUUUCUUUCCUAGGUGUGAAGCUUUGGAGGAAGAAAAUUCAACUCAAUGAGGCACUGCUGAAGAAGAGGUUCAACCAUCAUGCUGCUGUGGCUCAUGAUGCAGAUCAGAAACCCCACAUGUGCGAUGCUGUGAUGGAUCUCUUGCAUGAGAUUCACUCUCCAGUCUCCAAAAUGCAAGCUGGAUGCCAGAUCUCAAACCAGUGCUAGCAAGGAGCAUGCUUAUAAGUCAUAACCACACGUGUACAAUUUGUUUAUUUGGAGCUGUCCUAAAUUUGUAUCAUUUCCCAAAAGGAAGACUGUGUGCACCAGGCCUAAUUGUAUGCACACCCUCCUCCUUCCUUCUCUUAGUUGUCCACAACUGGAGUCACUCUCUAAUGCCAUCAAAUGGGAAGUUUUGCAAACUCCUCUUAAUUACGAGACUCGAGGAAGCAAAGUUCUCUUCACUACAUGCAGUAAGAGAGUUGCUUCAACCAUGCAGUCAAAUAAAGCGAGUCAACUAGAGCAAUUACAUGAAGAACAUUGCUAGAAAUAUGAAUUUUGGUUCUUGUCUCUCACGUUGAUGUGUAUGACUUGUUCUCCAUGGGACUGUGGGUAUUGAUUGCCGUGUUUUAUGUUCUACUUUUUCAUUUGUAUCAUUGGAAUUCUAUAAUUGAAAGAGUGGGAAUAUAAAAAUGUGAAGGGUGUUGUUUUCUUUUGUUUAAUAAGACAGCUUCUAUACAGAAUUAUCCUAAGCUAAAAAAGCACUUGCCAGUUAAGAAUUAUCCUAAGCUUCUAGACAGCUUCUACAAUUGCCAACAGCUUGUGGCUUCUGUUUCAAAGGCUCAAGCUAUUGACUUCACCAAAUUGUAGGGUUCAGUUAGAUUUAUAGGGUCCAGUUAGAGAUAUAGUUUGUAGGAUAUUAGUUAUUUGUUGUUGAUAGUUAGUUACUAAUUGGAUGAUGCCUAUAAAUGGCUUCAUGUAGACUUGAUGUAAUAACUUUUACUCAUUCAAUCAAAUAGCAAUUUGACUUUAGUCUCAA
This is a long non-coding RNA of Glycine soja, 1101 nucleotides long. RefSeq lists it as uncharacterized. The record is from RefSeq and is a predicted model, not a curated record. The transcript has 2 exons. Lineage: Eukaryota; Viridiplantae; Streptophyta; Magnoliopsida; Fabales; Fabaceae.